UACGUAGGGGGCAAGCGUUGUCCGGAAUCAUUGGGCGUAAAGGGCGCGUAGGUGGCCCCUCAAGCGUGCGGUGAAAGUCAGGGGCUCAACCCCUGAUCGGCCGUGCGAACUGGGGAGCUUGAGCACUGUAGAGGCAGGCGGAAUUCCGGGUGUAGCGGUGGAAUGCGUAGAGAUCCGGAAGAACACCGGUGGCGAAGGCGGCCUGCUGGGCAGUAGCUGACGCUGAUGCGCGACAGCGUGGGGAGCAAACAGG
This 253-nucleotide ribosomal RNA is filed under the name uncultured bacterium. RNAcentral describes it as "partial 16S ribosomal RNA". It matches the Rfam family "Bacterial small subunit ribosomal RNA", at positions 524 to 776 of the family's 1533-position model. The record is from RNAcentral.